This 76-nucleotide transfer RNA is filed under the name uncultured Chloroflexia bacterium. Its description in RNAcentral is "tRNA-Lys-CTT". It matches the Rfam family "tRNA". Rfam says of the family: Transfer RNA (tRNA) molecules are approximately 80 nucleotides in length. The record is from RNAcentral. Lineage: Bacteria; Bacillati; Chloroflexota; Chloroflexia.
GCGCCGUUAGCUCAAUUGGCAGAGCAAGCGACUCUUAAUCGCUAGGUUGUAGGUUCGAUUCCUACACGGCGCACUA